RNAcentral lists this long non-coding RNA (6808 nucleotides) under Homo sapiens (human). RNAcentral's name for it is "non-protein coding lnc-NPTX1-1:3". Lineage: Eukaryota; Metazoa; Chordata; Mammalia; Primates; Hominidae. The record is from RNAcentral.
GGCGUGGGUUGUGUGGCCUCUCCCAGCUCCACGCGUUUCUGGGCGCCGGGCACUAGGCGAGCCGGCCGGGCUGGCGCGAGGCCGCAGGCGGGAAGAGUCCCCGGGGUCGGCCCCGAAGCGGCUCUGGAGGCAGUAGCCGGGGACGCCGAGGUCAGGGAGGAGGCGGAUCCGAGCGCGGUCCCGCAGGGCCCUGUCCGUUCUUCCGCCUCGGCCGGUCCCGUCAGGCCGCCUUUAAAUGCCCGGCGCCUCGCACCUGCUAACAAAACGAGCUCCUGCUGUUCCCCAGCUCCGUAAAUGGUGCCCCUGGCCCUCCCCAGUUCUCAGGCAGAGCCUUGGCGGCCUCCCUGACCCCUAACACCCCGCAUCCAGCCCGGCAGUACAUCCUGUUGGCUGUGCCUUCGAAAUUUCCCCAGACCUGACCUCUUCUCCCACCUCUGCCACCACCCUGCUCCGAGCCGUCUUUUCCCGCCGAGAUGACUGUAGUAGCGUCUCAGCUGGGUCUCCCCGCUUCCACCUUCCCCUCCUGAGUCUCCUCAACACAGGAGCCAGAGCGAUCUCGGAAAGUACAGGAGGUCAUGCCCCAGUGUGGUUCCCCUUUCCUGGGUUUAAGUCAAGGUCCUCACCGUGCCUGCCGGCCUCCCGGGUCUCUGCGCGGUGGACUCUGGACCUCCCUGCCCCGUCCUGCCUCAGGGCCUUUGCACCUGCUGUUACCGCGGCCUGGAACGCUCCUCCCCUGAAACCCUGUGACUCCCACUUAGUGAGGCGACCACCUGUUGAAAACCGUGCCCCCUUCCUAUACAGAUGCUCCUGUCAUAUGGGGUUAGAUUCCCCAUCAACCCAUCAUAGGUUAAAGCAUUGUAAGGCAAUUUACGGUAGGUUUAUCCGGAUGUAACCCCAUCUGUAAGCGGAGGAGUAUACUGAAUGUGUAUGGCGUUUGUACCAUGGCAAAGCCAAAAUGUAAGUCAAACUCGAAGUCCAGGACGGUCUGUGGCCUGUACUCCCUUGCUUUCCCUCCCCGGCUCUUAGCGCCAUCCAGCAUCGUUGAUAAUGUAAUUUGAUGUGUAUUGUCUGAAAGCACCAAGACGGCAGAGUUUCUCUCUUAUCCAGAUCACAGUGUGUGCUCAGUAAACACUAGACUGAGGGGGUGUAUGAGAGGUCUUUUUUUCCUCUCUCCUUCCUCAGGAAUGGGUGAAGAUGAAGUCCUGUAAGGCAGGAGCUGGAUCAAAGAAAUAUCCCGGGUCUUGUCUGUGUGCAGACUGUUGUUUGAGGACUCUGCUCCAGUUCUAGCAGCGAUCGGUGGCUCCCUUGGGUGACUCUCCAGAAGGAAGGGUGCCAGCAUGGACUGGUGUCUGCUUGCCAGAUGCCCUGAACAGCUCAUUCCUCAGGAGGCCAGGGGCGCCUCAGGAAGUGCUGUCAAAUGCAAUCACUCUCAGAACCCUCUGGGCUGAAAGAUGUCAUUGAUUUAUGCUGGCAGCCCCGCGCAGCACUCUGCUAGGUGUUGAAUUGUCUGGAGAACACCUGGUAUCACCCUCAAGGCCCCUUAGUCUGGUAGGAAGGAAUGAUGAGGAAGAGGCUGUGUGGAAGUCACAGAGAAGGAGGAGGGUGGGAUCAGUUUCCAGGGUGGGGUCUCUGGAAGUCCUCUCAGGGGUUCUCAGGGGGGCAUUUCUGCCUAGAGCAGCAGGUGUAAGGCGUGAGCCAUGGACGAAGGGAAGGAGCCAGCCAUCAUUGAUCGCCUCCUCUGUGCUGGAUGUGGCUCUAGAUGUCAAGCUCACAUUUACACAUUAGCCUUCCUUUACAGAGGAGGAAACAGGCUCAGAAAGCCCCUGACCCCGGUUACACCACUACUAAAUGCAGGAUUCAGAUCUUCAGUUGAGCUCUUUGUGGCCGUGAAGCCUGUCCUCUUCCCAGGGCUCGAUGCCACUUCCCAGGCUGGAAGCCAGACAAGCAUCCGGGGCUGCCCGGAAUUGCAUGCAAAUGUCCGGACAGCCGGCUUCCUCGUGGGCCCCGGCACUGGCAGAGGAACUCUUUGCCGGGCAUGUGGCUUGGGCAGGCCAGGGCAGCCAUCUGCCAGCCAGCCAUGUGGGGAGGAGGCUGUAGGCCACCCCACAGCCAGAUGCUUCUGGGCCGGUCCUGGGCUCCCAAAGGUAGUUCCUUCAGGAGAUGGAGUCACCUGGCUCCUCUCUUCCCUUCCACCCAGUUCCAAAGUCAGGGGUUCUGGGGCUGUGUCAGCAAGGGGCCAUUCUGGCACUGUCCUUCUGGCACAGAGCAUUGUGGCCAGGGAUGGACAUCUGUUCUGCAUUGACCCCCAUGGCCAGGACAUCUGUGGCCCCACGGAACUCAGUGACAAGGAGAGUCGGCAGCAGGGAAAGGCCACGCUCUGUAGUGUGUCUGCCAGGUGGCAGAGGAUCCCUGACACAGCCCAGCUGGCAUCUGCCCUUGCCACUGAGGCUUCCUGAGGGCAGUCCCCAAGGGUCCUGCCAUGCCAGGGCUCCCCUUCUGCCAGGCAGUGGCUGCUUAAGCUGAGGGAGGGAGAAGCUGGGAGUUGGCCAUGACUGAUGGUACCAGGCCAGUGGGAUCUGGAGCCCACAGAUGGUGGAGGAUGGGGCACAGCCCCCACCCCUUACCUGUGACGUGCCCUGCCGGCGGGCAGAGGCAUCCGGUCUGCUCUGUAGAAGUUGGAGGUACAGACUGGCAGAGGGAGAAGCGGAAGAGAUAGCAUCAUUUUACAGAAGGGAAAGCUGAGGCCCUGAGCCAGGGGGAUAUGCAUGGAUGCCCCGUGGGCUUUCUCGCGUUUACUCCUCCGCACAGGGCCCUGUUUUUCAAUGGAGGAAUUAGGGCUUGAAGGAAAUGAAGUGAGGUUUCCAGGGUCCCCUGGCUAAGCCAGUUAUUUGGCCCUGACCGGUGCAAAUCUGAGAGGGGGACUAAGCAGGCCCUCAGGCCAGGGUCCGAGCUUGCUCACUCAGCCACAGCAGGGAAGAGUCAGCCUGAGGCAGCAGGCCCAGGAUCGAGGGUGACCCUCCUCCCAGAAGCAAGAUGUGGUGAGGUCCCAGAUGGGCUGGGAAGGUGGCAUGAGGGCUUGCUUCAAGGGAGCCUGCUGGCUGGCCUCCAGUAUCCACCUGGAAACAGCCCCCCAGGUGUGCCCCUCGAGCUGCUAACCCCAAUCUGGCCACCCCCCAACUCGCUCCUCAGCACUCCAGUGGUCAGGGUGUCCCCUUCCCUGGUCCCUCCUUGCCCCUCCUCUUAGCACCAGCAACCGGGGCCUCCAGCAGGCCAGAGAUCUUCCCACAGCCUCCUGGGCUUCCUGCCCAAGGCAGGGGCUGAUCUCUCAAGGGUGGGUGGGACUUCCGGCUGUGCCAUCAGCAGUUCCUGGCUGUAUCAGUUAGCUUUGGCUGUGUAACAAAUCACCCCAAAGCCUAGAGGCUUCACACAACUACCAUCUCUUAUCCCUCACAGAUCCCUGGGUUGCCUGACCAAUUCUGGUGUGAGCUUCCCUGCUCAGGGGACAGCUCCCUGAGCCCAGAGCCCUGACUGCAGAGCUGCCGCCUGCAGCCCUGCAUGCUGUUUCUCACCACACUGUGUCCCCGCCCUUCCAGCCCGUGGAGUCACACUUCGCCACCCAGCCCCCGAGGACACACUCAUGGAACCCCCAGUCAGGCGUCCAGACUAAGCCACCAGGGUGGCUCCUCUCAGCCCCACUCCUGACCAAAGCUUCCUGCCUAUCGAGCGUGGGGACCAACUGCAGGCACCUCCGUCUUCAAUGCCACUCCGGAGGCAGAGGGGAGCCUCCACCUUCCCUGGCAUUGUCACCAUCAACCUUAACAAUAGUUUGACUUGGUUAAGCUCCUCCAAGGGCCGGGGAGGAGCACAACGGAGCUUCAGGAAGCAGCUUUCCAGUAAGUGCCGGGAGCCUUCUUGGAAGCAGGCAGAGGAUGAAUUAUAAAUAAACAAACCAGAGCCCUGCAGCGGCGUGGGCCGGGUGGGAAGAGGGGAGAGACCGGAGGCAGGGCCUCACUUAGGUGCUAAGCAGCCCCUGGCCUGGCCCCCGCCAGCCCUCCCACCCUGCCUUGCACCCUGGCCUCGGGGACUCAGCGGCCUUCCUGCUCAGGGCAUCGGCGGGGACCUCAGGCUUCUGGGGCCAACCUUGGCCAGGCUGCAGAGGGGAGGCCUAGUGUAGACCCCCACUGUGGGACUGGGAGGCCCCCCUGCCUCUCACAACUCCAAGGGUACAGGCCCAAGUCUCUCUCACACCAAAACAGGCCCCGUGGCCACUCAUCCGUGUGGGAGGUGUCUCACCAAAUGUUUGAAGGGGAAAAAAAAUCCCAUUUUCUAAGGUGUUUUUUUCCUUUCUAUUUUUUGAUUAUUUUUCUAGAUGACUUCAUUUCUAAGAAGGGGGUAGUGGAGAGAAGGAGGACAGGGGGAGGGAGGACUUGGGCCCUGAGGAGGCCGCCGGGGACCAGAGCAGCGUUGGGGGAGGAGAGCGAGAGCCAGGCCCAGGGAAAGCCCAGGCCUCUUCAACCUGGGGAAUGGGGGGCUUCUGUGACCCGAGCCCAGGUGUGUCCCGAACCCAGGUGCCUCGAGUGCCGGCUAUGAACACAUCUCCCUCCUGAUCUCCCACGGGCCUGCUGGCCGCCUGUACUCCCACGAGGCCCUGUGGGGGAGGUCGGCUCUCCUCCAGCAGGAGGGGAAGGGUCUUCAGGCCUUCACCCCAGAUCUCUGGCAUGUGACGCGCCCACCCCCCACCUGUCCCAGGGACAGAGCUGAGAGCACUUCCCCAUCCCACACACCACUUGGAACCGGCAGAACCCACUCUGGCCAGCUUAAUGGAACCCAAUACAAGAUAUUAGGAGGCUCAUAGAACCUUCCGGAGAGCCUCGGCGGCCACACAGCCAAGAACAAGGGCCCAACCGUGCAGCCUCCCCCACCGGGCAUGGACCCAGCAGCCCGCACCUGCUGUUCUGAAAGCCAGGGCCCCGCUGCCGUCCCCGUUGGUCAAGGGAUUCUGGAGGCAUCGGCUUCCUGGCAUUGCUCACCUCUGAGGCUGAGGCUGAGGCUGGCAGGUGCGAGUGGAGCUGGCUCCUAUGCCUGGGCUCGGGCUGCAAGGGAGGCAGGCCCAGGCACAGGAUGGUGCUCAGAAGGUGGUGGCCACCCCAGCACUCCCUGAGCCCUUGAAAGACUUUUCCAACCCCAAUACCCAGCAGUCUGCUGGGCUGGAGAGACGGGAAGGGAGGCUGUCUCCCUCUCUGGGGGCUGCCAUUAACAAAUGAGCAUCAACUUGAUGGCUGAAAUCAACCGACAUUUAUUCUCUAACAGGUUUGGAGACCAGAAUUCCAAAAUCCUUCUGGUCCUCUGCGGGGACCCUGUCCCAGGCCGCUUUCCCAGCUUCCGUGGGUGCUGGGGACCUCGGCACUCCUUGGCCUGUGGAUGCAUCUCUCCCACUGUCCCACCUCUACCUUCCCCUGUGGGUGUCUGGGUCUCAAAUCUCCCUCUGCCUUUCUCUUUCGAGGACACCUGUCAUUGGAUUUCAGGUUAACCCUUCAUGCAGGAUGAUUUUAUCUCGAAAUCUUUAACUUUAUUCCAUCUGCAAAGACUAAUUCCAAAAAAGGUCACAUUCUGAGGUUGUGGGUGGACACCUGGGACCACCAUUCGGGGCACUACCAUGGGCAUGAUAAAUGGGCACAGGACGGGCAGCCGGGGAGGGAGGAGGAGAAGAGGGAAGGACGUGGGUGUCGGCUGGGACCGCUGGGGCAGGAGGAGCCAACUGCCUUGGGACUGUCGUCCUGGACGUGGGAUUGUCUGUCCUCUUACGCCCAGACCUGCUUGCCACUGCCAGAUGGUGUUUCCCACCACCCUUGGCCUCCUCACUGUUGCCUGGCAUGUCCCAGUUCUACAUGCCAUGAGCGCCCCACCUGCCCCCCAACAGCUUCCAGACCCCCUCCAAGCCUCAGAGCCCUGGGUUCUCCUGAGUCCCAGAGGCAAGAGAAGCUGCCCCAUUCCUCUCACCCAAGCCAGCCUCUUUCUCGGGUCACUGAAAGGACAGUAAGCCCCGCCAUCCCCUCGUCUCCUGACUCCCCAUAGCCCAAAGCUCUUUCUCCUCCCCAAAUCCCGCCCUGUGGAGUUUAAGCCAUUUCUUCUGAUGAGGCUCCCAGAGACAGAGACCUGUCAAGAUGCACAGGGCCAUGAGUCAGACUGGGGCAUGAAAAUGUCUGCACACAUUCUGCACACAGUCUCGCCUUUGAGGGAGACCUCAGAACUGCCUUUGAGGGUGACCUCAGAACUGCCUUUGAGGGAGACCCAAAUCCCAUUUCAGAGAUGAGGAGAGAGGUUUAAUACCCUGCUCCUGAGUUCACACAGACACGCCUGGACUUGAACCUGAAAUGACCAACUCCAGCUGUGAGUGACUCUUUUCUCUGAUUGCACCACAGGGACUCAGUCCCGUGAGGAAUGCUAUCCCUGCUGAAAUCCUUCUGGGGACAGGGAACUCACCACCUCACAAAACACAGGCUAAGGCCAGGCACGGUGGCUCAUGCCUGUAAUCCCAACACUUUGGGAGGCCAAGGUGGGAGGACUGUUUGAGGCCAGGAGUUUGAGACCAGCCUGAGCAACAUCUCAAGAUGCUGUCUCUACUAUAUAUGUGUGUGUGUGUAUACACACACACACUAGCUGGGUGUGCUGGCACACACCUGUAGUUACAGCUACUUGGGAGGCUGAGGCAGGAGGAUUGCUUGAGUCCAGGAGGUCGAGGCUGCCACGAGGCGAAAUUGCACCACUGCACUCCACCCUGGGUGACAGAGUGAGACCCCAUCUCAAA